This 614-nucleotide ribosomal RNA is filed under the name Salmonella enterica. RNAcentral describes it as "bacterial SSU rRNA". It matches the Rfam family "Bacterial small subunit ribosomal RNA", at positions 766 to 1380 of the family's 1533-position model. The record is from RNAcentral. Lineage: Bacteria; Pseudomonadati; Pseudomonadota; Gammaproteobacteria; Enterobacterales; Enterobacteriaceae.
GAGCAAACAGGAUUAGAUACCCUGGUAGUCCACGCCGUAAACGAUGUCUACUUGGAGGUUGUGCCCUUGAGGCGUGGCUUCCGGAGCUAACGCGUUAAGUAGACCGCCUGGGGAGUACGGCCGCAAGGUUAAAACUCAAAUGAAUUGACGGGGGCCCGCACAAGCGGUGGAGCAUGUGGUUUAAUUCGAUGCAACGCGAAGAACCUUACCUGGUCUUGACAUCCACGGAAGAAUCCAGAGAUGGAUUUGUGCCUUCGGGAACCGUGAGACAGGUGCUGCAUGGCUGUCGUCAGCUCGUGUUGUGAAAUGUUGGGUUAAGUCCCGCAACGAGCGCAACCCUUAUCCUUUGUUGCCAGCGGUCCGGCCGGGAACUCAAAGGAGACUGCCAGUGAUAAACUGGAGGAAGGUGGGGAUGACGUCAAGUCAUCAUGGCCCUUACGACCAGGGCUACACACGUGCUACAAUGGCGCAUACAAAGAGAAGCGACCUCGCGAGAGCAAGCGGACCUCAUAAAGUGCGUCGUAGUCCGGAUUGGAGUCUGCAACUCGACUCCAUGAAGUCGGAAUCGCUAGUAAUCGUGGAUCAGAAUGCCACGGUGAAUACGUUCCCGGGCC